GAACGCUGGCGGCGUGCCUCAUACAUGCAAGUCGAGCGGAUGCAGCAAUGCAUUAGCGGCGGACGGGUGAGUAACACGUGGGCAACCUGGCCUUAAGAGGGGGAUAACGUUCCGAAAGGGACGCUAAUACCGCGUAAAUCAGCGAAAUCGCAUGAUUUUGUUGGAAAAGGAGAAAUCCGCUUAAGGAUGGGCCCGCGGCCUAUUAGCUAGUUGGUAGGGUAACGGCCUACCAAGGCGACGAUAGGUAGCCGACCUGAGAGGGUGAACGGCCACACUGGAACUGAGAAACGGUCCAGACUCCUACGGGAGGCAGCAGUAGGGAAUAUUCCGCAAUGGGCGAAAGCCUGACGGAGCAACGCCGCGUGAGUGAAGAAGGUCUUCGGAUCGUAAAGCUCUGUCAACAGGGACGAAACAAGACGGUACCUGAGAAGGAAGCCACGGCAAACUACGUG
This 452-nucleotide ribosomal RNA is filed under the name uncultured bacterium. RNAcentral's name for it is "bacterial SSU rRNA". It matches the Rfam family "Bacterial small subunit ribosomal RNA", at positions 31 to 507 of the family's 1533-position model. The record is from RNAcentral.